GGGAGAGCCAUUUUCUGAUGAUCCACACCUGUUAACAUUAAAAUGUUAAUUGAAUGCAGGCCCCAGAGAGAAGCAGCUUCCUGGGCAUACAUAUUAAGAGACAAAAAUGAUGAAGUAUGAUCUUCCCAGAUCACUCCUCUGGAAAAAGGAAGAAAACCUCAGAUGGGCAUGCAUACAAAGCCCAAACACACUGCAUGUGCUGAAUUCCCAAAGGUUGCAGUGGAAUGGUCCAAUCACAGCUUACUGCAGCCUCAACCUCCUAGACUCAAGCAAUCCUUCCACCCCAGCCUCCUGAGGAGCUGAGAUCACAAGUGUGUGCCAUUACAUUUUUACAUUGUUUUCUAUGGAAGAAGAUUGCUCACAAUAAUAAUAGCUAUAGCAGAAGCCUCAGCAGCAAAUAUUUUCUGUUCAAAAGGAUUGGCUGCCUCCAUCCCUCCUGCCCAGGUGAGACCAGAAGUGUGGAUGAGUAGAGCAUUCCAUUUGCCUGUCCUUUAACUAGCAUUUUAUUCUGCAUAGACAUUUUUAGUAUUUUGCAAUUAUUGAAACAUGGCAAAUGUAUCUGAUCCCUGAGCCCUCUUCUUCUCAGCCUUACUAGCCCUUAAUAUUUCCUUAAAAAAUAUUCUUUUUCAGGUAUUUGAAGUCUUUCCCUUCUGAUCUCUCUGAGUCCUUGCUCCAUUGGGUGGGAAUUUUCAGCCCAGGAAAGUAAAUGGCAUGAAUAUUAUAAUGGCCUUCUAGAGUCUGGAAGCCCAGGUCAGCAGUGGGAAGUAUCUAGAGAGAAGCUUUAUUUGUCUGUCCAACUUUCUCUGCAUCCACUCCAUUUCCAGUUUCAGGAAGGAAACUGUGGACAAUGUGGAAUGUUACAUAUGUGACCAGAAGAUAAAUUUACAGUAAUGUUUGGGUUUCUACCCCUUCCUCACUCUUUCCCUACCUCCAGGUAAGCAAUCCUAAGGGAUGCUUUUCUAAAGUACCCAGUGGAUUCCCCAGAGUUUGCAAGGUACUUAACUGCAGGUGUGUGUGUGUGUGUGUGUGUGUGUGUAUGUGUGUGUGUCUGUACAGGGCUACUCUGUGCACUACAUCACUAGGUACGCUGAUUUUGGGCUUUUGAAAUCAUUGUACCCAGCAGAGCCUUAUCUCCUUAGAGCCACCUCAUCUUAAGGCUGAGCAGCUGAUGGACCAGCUAAAAUGUCAUACUUUGCCAUCUUUAGUUUGACAAACACUAGCUUUUUGUUUUGUUAUUUUCAUAGGGACUUUGUUUUUUUGCCUUCAAUAACUUAUUUAUCACAGUCUGUUGAUCCAUAGCCAAUAAUUUGCUUGUUCCCCAAAGGGUAAAUAAACAUUAAAGGUUAAAGUAAGGGCUGUAAGUUUGACUGGCUAUAGGUAAUCAUUGGUCAGGUAAGUGCAGCUUCAAGUCUAAUUAGGUAGUACCUAGGCUACGUACACCUUCCUAGGUACACCACUAGAACAACUGUAUAGAAUACAGAGAUAGAUGAAUAUCAGCCAAUUACCCCCUGGUUGAGUGGUGGUUGUAGGCUGUGAUUAUAGGCAAUACAAAUGAUGUUAAAACUGCUUCUCCAUAAGGUCUCUGCUGAUUCUCUUAACCUCUCCAUUUUCUAGAAUAUAUAUUCAGCACUAAAUGGGAGUAUGUCUAUACUACAUAUUGGAUGUGCAGUUGUAUUCCAAACUGAAAGCUGAAUUUUCCUUUGCCAACAAACAAAUCACUACUGUCUCCAGAUUGCACUACCAGCAUGCCCCAACUGUGAAAUGAUUUAAGUGGUGAUGGUUUAACUACACAGCCCUCAUUUACUCAGUUUUACAUAUGUCUGUUUUGCCUUCCUAGACAAACAAAACUUCUACUUUCCUGUUCCCAUUGUCUAGAGUGGGGCAUACCCCCUGCCCUUAAUAAAUGAUUCUUGAACAAUGGUAUGUUUUUAAGUUGCUAUAUGUACA
Molecule: long non-coding RNA, 1947 nt
Organism: Callithrix jacchus (white-tufted-ear marmoset)
Lineage: Eukaryota; Metazoa; Chordata; Mammalia; Primates; Cebidae
Source: Ensembl